UUUAGGGUAGUUUAUAAAAAAAUAGGAACUUGUGGUGUUUUUGAAGCUACGGUCGGUUGUAGGACCAUGGUCCCUAAAA
This 79-nucleotide transfer RNA is filed under the name Ascidiella aspersa. Its description in RNAcentral is "transfer RNA-His". The record is from RNAcentral. Lineage: Eukaryota; Metazoa; Chordata; Ascidiacea; Phlebobranchia; Ascidiidae.